UACGUAGGGGGCAAGCGUUGUCCGGAAUUAUUGGGCGUAAAGCGCGCGCAGGCGGCGACUUAAGUCUGGUGUUUAAACCCAAGGCUCAACCUUGGGUCGCACUGGAAACUGGGUUGCUUGAGUGCAGGAGAGGAAAGUGGAAUUCCACGUGUAGCGGUGAAAUGCGUAGAGAUGUGGAGGAACACCAGUGGCGAAGGCGACUUUCUGGCCUGUAACUGACGCUGAGGCGCGAAAGCGUGGGUAGCAAACAGG
This 252-nucleotide ribosomal RNA is filed under the name uncultured bacterium. RNAcentral's name for it is "partial 16S ribosomal RNA". It matches the Rfam family "Bacterial small subunit ribosomal RNA", at positions 524 to 776 of the family's 1533-position model. The record is from RNAcentral.